AAACCGUGUUGUGGGCAUGAAUUGACAAGAUCCUUGAAUCGCUCCCAACAUUAGAAGAAUUUUUCGUUUUCCUUUUGGGCGAAAUUCAUGAUUGACUUUCUAAGGGC
Molecule: small nucleolar RNA, 107 nt
Organism: Magnolia sinica
Lineage: Eukaryota; Viridiplantae; Streptophyta; Magnoliopsida; Magnoliales; Magnoliaceae
Source: RefSeq, a predicted model, not a curated record